Molecule: ribosomal RNA, 429 nt
Filed under: Bacillota bacterium
Lineage: Bacteria; Bacillati; Bacillota
Description: Firmicutes bacterium partial 16S ribosomal RNA
Rfam family: Bacterial small subunit ribosomal RNA
Source: RNAcentral
UAGGGAAUCUUCGGCAAUGGACGGAAGUCUGACCGAGCAACGCCGCGUGAGUGAAGAAGGUUUUCGGAUCGUAAAGCUCUGUUGUUAGAGAAGAACGUUGGUAGGAGUGGAAAAUCUACCAAGUGACGGUAACUAACCAGAAAGGGACGGCUAACUACGUGCCAGCAGCCGCGGUAAUACGUAGGUCCCGAGCGUUGUCCGGAUUUAUUGGGCGUAAAGCGAGCGCAGGCGGUUCUUUAAGUCUGAAGUUAAAGGCAGUGGCUUAACCAUUGUACGCUUUGGAAACUGGAGGACUUGAGUGCAGAAGGGGAGAGUGGAAUUCCAUGUGUAGCGGUGAAAUGCGUAGAUAUAUGGAGGAACGCCGGUGGCGAAAGCGGCUCUCUGGUCUGUAACUGUCGCUGAGGCUCGAAAGCGUGGGGAGCAAACAGG